Molecule: ribosomal RNA, 67 nt
Filed under: Puccinia recondita
Lineage: Eukaryota; Fungi; Basidiomycota; Pucciniomycetes; Pucciniales; Pucciniaceae
Description: partial 28S ribosomal RNA
Source: RNAcentral
CUAAAACCCCAUAAUUUAUUUUAAGACCUCAAAUCAGGUGGGACUACCCGCUGAACUUAAGCAUAUC